This 253-nucleotide ribosomal RNA is filed under the name uncultured bacterium. RNAcentral's name for it is "partial 16S ribosomal RNA". It matches the Rfam family "Bacterial small subunit ribosomal RNA", at positions 524 to 776 of the family's 1533-position model. The record is from RNAcentral.
UACGGAGGGGGCUAGCGUUGUUCGGAAUUACUGGGCGUAAAGGGCUCGUAGGCGGCCAACUAAGUCAGACGUGAAAUCCCCAGGCUCAACCUGGGAACUGCGUCUGAUACUGGAUGGCUUGAAUCCGGGAGAGGGAUGCAGAAUUCCAGGUGUAGCGGUGAGAUGCGUAGAUAUCUGGAGGAAUACCGGUGGCGAAGGCGGCAUCCUGGACCGGCAUUGACGCUGAGGAGCGAAAGCUAGGGGAGCAAACGGG